This 74-nucleotide transfer RNA is filed under the name Nitrososphaerota archaeon. RNAcentral's name for it is "Thaumarchaeota archaeon (freshwater metagenome) tRNA-Lys". It matches the Rfam family "tRNA". From Rfam's summary of the family: Transfer RNA (tRNA) molecules are approximately 80 nucleotides in length. Their secondary structure includes four short double-helical elements and three loops (D, anti-codon, and T loops). RNAcentral also lists the same sequence under 3 other names. The record is from RNAcentral. Lineage: Archaea; Thermoproteati; Nitrososphaerota.
GGGUCUGUGGCUCAGCCAGGUAGAGCGAAGGACUCUUAAUCCUUAUGUCGUGGGUUCGAAUCCCACCAGACCCG